This 406-nucleotide ribosomal RNA is filed under the name Cardinium endosymbiont of Bemisia tabaci. Its description in RNAcentral is "bacterial SSU rRNA". It matches the Rfam family "Bacterial small subunit ribosomal RNA", at positions 234 to 637 of the family's 1533-position model. The record is from RNAcentral. Lineage: Bacteria; Pseudomonadati; Bacteroidota; Cytophagia; Cytophagales; Amoebophilaceae.
CGUCCUAUUAGCUAGUUGGUGAGGCAAUGGCUCACCAAGGCUACGAUGGGUAGGGGUUCUUAGUGGAAGAUCCCCCACACUGGCACUGAGAUACGGGCCAGACUCCUACGGGAGGCAGCAGUAGGGAAUAUUGGUCAAUGGGCGCAAGCCUGAACCAGCCAUGCCGCGUGCAGGGUGAAGGCUCUCUGAGUUGUAAACUGCUUUUGUACAGGAGCAAAAAAAUCCCUGCGGGGGUUCUUGAGAGUACUGUAGGAAUAAGCACCGGCUAAUUCCGUGCCAGCAGCCGCGGUAAUACGGGAGGUGCAAGCGUUAUCCGGUUUUAUUGGGUUUAAAGGGUGCGUAGGCGGCUUAUUAAGUCAGUUGUGAAAUCCUAGUGCUUAACGCUAGAACUGCGAUUGAUACUAUU